GACGAACGCUGGCGGCGUGCUUAACACAUGCAAGUCGAACGAUGAUCUCCCGCUUGCGGGGGUGAUUAGUGGCGAACGGGUGAGUAAUACGUGAGUAACCUGCCCUUGACUCUGGGAUAAGCCUGGGAAACCGGGUCUAAUACUGGAUACUACUUACUGCCUCAUGGUGGGGGGUGGAAAGGGUUUUACUGUUUUUGGAUGGGCUCACGGCCUAUCAGCUUGUUGGUGGAGUAAUGGCUCACCAAGGCGACGACGGGUAGCCGGCCUGAGGGGGUGACCGGCCACCCUGGGACUGAGACACGGCCCAGACUCCUACGGGGGGCAGCAGGGGGGAAUAUUGCACAAGGGGCGGAAGCCUGAUGCAGCGACGCCGCGUGUGGGAUGACGGCUUUCGGGUUGUAAACCUCUUUCAGCAGGGAAGAAGCCACAAGUGACGGUACCUGCAGAAGAAGCGCCGGCUAACUACGUG
This 469-nucleotide ribosomal RNA is filed under the name uncultured bacterium. Its description in RNAcentral is "partial 16S ribosomal RNA". It matches the Rfam family "Bacterial small subunit ribosomal RNA", at positions 28 to 507 of the family's 1533-position model. The record is from RNAcentral.